UACGUAGGGGGCUAGCGUUGUCCGGAUUUAUUGGGCGUAAAGAGCUCGUAGGUGGUUCGGUAAGUCGGAUGUGAAAUCUCCAGGCUCAACCUGGAGGGGUCAUUCGAUACUGCCGUGACUAGAGUUCGGUAGAGGAGUGUGGAAUUCCUGGUGGAGCGGUGAAAUGCGUAGAUAUUGGGAGGAACACCAGUGGCGAAGGCGGUCCCCUGGGCCGGAACUGACGCUGAGGCGCGAAAGCGUGGGUAGCAAACGGG
This 254-nucleotide ribosomal RNA is filed under the name uncultured bacterium. RNAcentral's name for it is "partial 16S ribosomal RNA". It matches the Rfam family "Bacterial small subunit ribosomal RNA", at positions 524 to 776 of the family's 1533-position model. The record is from RNAcentral.